RNAcentral lists this transfer RNA (34 nucleotides) under Taeniatherum caput-medusae. Its description in RNAcentral is "partial tRNA-Met". Lineage: Eukaryota; Viridiplantae; Streptophyta; Magnoliopsida; Poales; Poaceae. The record is from RNAcentral.
GCGGGAGUCAUUGGUUCAAAUCCAAUAGUAGGUA